RNAcentral lists this ribosomal RNA (484 nucleotides) under uncultured bacterium. Its description in RNAcentral is "partial 16S ribosomal RNA". It matches the Rfam family "Bacterial small subunit ribosomal RNA", at positions 30 to 507 of the family's 1533-position model. The record is from RNAcentral.
AUUGAACGCUGGCGGCAGGCCUAACACAUGCAAGUCGAGCGGAUGAAGGGAGCUUGCUCCUGGAUUCAGCGGCGGACGGGUGAGUAAUGCCUAGGAAUCUGCCUGGUAGUGGGGGAUAACGUCCUGAAACGGGCGCUAAUACCGCAUACGUCCUGAGGGAGAAAGGGGGGGAUCUUCGGACCUCACGCUAUCAGAUGAGCCUAGGUCGGAUUAGCUAGUUGGUGGGGUAAAGGCCUACCAAGGCGACGAUCCGUAACUGGUCUGAGAGGAUGAUCAGUCACACUGGAACUGAGACACGGUCCAGACUCCUACGGGAGGCCGCAGUGGGGAAUAUUGGACAAUGGGCGAAAGCCUGAUCCAGCCAUGCCGCGUGUGUGAAGAAGGUCUUCGGAUUGUACAGCACUUUAAGUUGGGAGGAAGGGCAGUACGUUAAUACCUUGCUGUUUUGACGUUACCAACAGAAUAAGCACCGGCUAACUUCGUG